AUUGAACGCUGGCGGCAUGCUCUACACAUGCAAGUCGAACGGUAACAGGCCUUCGGGUGCUGACGAGUGGCGAACGGGUGAGUAAUGCAUCGGAACGUACCCAGAGGUGGGGGAUAACGCAGCGAAAGCUGUGCUAAUACCGCAUGUGAUCUGAGGAUGAAAGCGGGGGACCGAGCAGCAAUGUUUGGCCUCGCGCCUUUGGAGCGGCCGAUGUCGGAUUAGCUAGUUGGUGGGGUAAAGGCCUACCAAGGCGACGAUCCGUAGCUGGUCUGAGAGGACGACCAGCCACACUGGGACUGAGACACGGCCCAGACUCCUACGGGAGGCAGCAGUGGGGAAUCUUGGACAAUGGGCGCAAGCCUGAUCCAGCAAUGCCGCGUGCGGGAAGAAGGCCUUCGGGUUGUAAACCGCUUUUGGCAGGAACGAAACGGUGUCCGCUAAUACCGGGCGCUAAUGACGGUACCUGCAGAAUAAGCACCGGCUAACUACGUG
This 492-nucleotide ribosomal RNA is filed under the name uncultured bacterium. RNAcentral's name for it is "partial 16S ribosomal RNA". It matches the Rfam family "Bacterial small subunit ribosomal RNA", at positions 29 to 507 of the family's 1533-position model. The record is from RNAcentral.